RNAcentral lists this ribosomal RNA (454 nucleotides) under uncultured Porphyromonadaceae bacterium. RNAcentral describes it as "partial 16S ribosomal RNA". It matches the Rfam family "Bacterial small subunit ribosomal RNA", at positions 341 to 792 of the family's 1533-position model. The record is from RNAcentral. Lineage: Bacteria; Pseudomonadati; Bacteroidota; Bacteroidia; Bacteroidales; Porphyromonadaceae.
ACGGGAGGCAGCAGUGAGGAAUAUUGGUCAAUGGUCGGAAGACUGAACCAGUCAAGUCGCGUGCAGGAAGACGGUCCUAUGGAUUUUAAACUGCUUUUGUACGGGAAUAAAGUGCGGGACGUGUCCCGUUUGGAAUGGACCGUAUGAAUAAGGGUCGGCUAACUCCGUGCCAGCAGCCGCGGUAAUACGGAGGACCCGAGCGUUAUCCGGAUUUAUUGGGUUCAAAGGGUGCGCAGGCGGAGGAUUAAGUCAGCGGUGAAAUUUUCAUGCUCAACAUGAAAACUGCCAUUGAUACUGGUCCCCUUGAGAGAUGUCGAGGAUGGCGGAAUGUGAUGUGUAGCGGUGAAAUGCUUAGAUAUGUCACAGAACACCGAUUGCGAAGGCAGCUGUCCAGAGAUCUUCUGACGCUCAGGCACGAAAGCAUGGGUAUCAAACAGGAUUAGAUACCCUGGUA